This 448-nucleotide ribosomal RNA is filed under the name uncultured bacterium. Its description in RNAcentral is "bacterial SSU rRNA". It matches the Rfam family "Bacterial small subunit ribosomal RNA", at positions 28 to 471 of the family's 1533-position model. The record is from RNAcentral.
GAUGAACGCUAGCGGCAGGCCUAACACAUGCAAGUCGAGGGGCAGCAUUUCCAGCUUGCUGGAAGAUGGCGACCGGCGCACGGGUGCGCAACGCGUAUAGAAUCUGCCCCGUACCGGGGAAUAGCCCAGAGAAAUUUGGAUUAACGCCCCAUGGUAUGUAUUAGCGGCAUCGCUUAUACAUUAAAGGCUACGGUACGGGAUGACUAUGCGUCCCAUUAGUUAGUUGGCAGGGUAACGGCCUACCAAGACGUCGAUGGGUAGGGGCCCUGAGAGGGGGAUCCCCCACACUGGUACUGAGACACGGACCAGACUCCUACGGGAGGCAGCAGUGAGGAAUAUUGGACAAUGGGCGGGAGCCUGAUCCAGCCAUGCCGCGUGCAGGAAGACGGUCCUAUGGAUUGUAAACUGCUUUUGUACGGGAAGAACAGGGGGUACGUGUACCCCUCUG